CCCUUAGAUGUCCUGGGCCGCACGCGCGCUACACUGAGUGUCUGAGAUAUGAGGCAUGCCUGGUCCGGCAAGGUCUAGGUAAUCACGAAAAGGCACAUCAUGCUUGGGAUUGAUUAUUGCAAAUUUUAAUCAUGAACGAGGAAUUCCUAGUAAGUGCAAGUCAACAGCUUGCAUUGAUUACGUCCCUGCCCUUUGUACACACCGCCCGUCGCACCUACCGAUUGAAUGGUCCGGUGAAAUCUUCGGAUUGAGACUUUGAUUUCUUCACGGAAAACGCUGUUUUAAAAAGUUGAUUAAACCUUACCAUUUAGAGGAAGGUGAAGUCGUAACA
RNAcentral lists this ribosomal RNA (331 nucleotides) under uncultured eukaryote. RNAcentral describes it as "partial 18S ribosomal RNA". It matches the Rfam family "Eukaryotic small subunit ribosomal RNA", at positions 1470 to 1796 of the family's 1831-position model. The record is from RNAcentral.